AGAACGAACGCUGGCGGCAUGCCUAACACAUGCAAGUCGAACGCUUCCGGGGCUUCGGUCGCGGAGGAGUGGCGCACGGGUGAGUAGCGCGUGGGAACCUGCCCUGUUGUGGGGGAUAACCGAGGGAAACUUCGGCUAAUACCGCAUACGCCCCGGGACUUGGUCUUCGGAUUAGGUCUGGGGGGAAAGAUUGAUCGCAGCAGGAGGGGCCCGCGUCGGAUUAGCUGGUUGGUGGGGUAACGGCUCACCAAGGCGAUGAUCCGUAGCUGGUCUGAGAGGAUGAUCAGCCACACUGGGACUGAGACACGGCCCAGACUCCUACGGGAGGCAGCAGUGGGGAAUAUUGGACAAUGGGGGCAACCCUGAUCCAGCAAUGCCGCGUGAGUGAUGAAGGCCUUAGGGUUGUAAAAUUCUUUUAGCAGGGACGAUAAUGACGGUACCUGCAGAAAAGCCCCGGACUAACUUCGCGCCAGCAGCCGCGUAA
Molecule: ribosomal RNA, 484 nt
Filed under: uncultured bacterium
Lineage: Bacteria
Description: SSU rRNA
Rfam family: Bacterial small subunit ribosomal RNA
Source: RNAcentral